This 568-nucleotide ribosomal RNA is filed under the name Microbacterium sp. DJM5C6. RNAcentral describes it as "bacterial SSU rRNA". It matches the Rfam family "Bacterial small subunit ribosomal RNA", at positions 910 to 1477 of the family's 1533-position model. The record is from RNAcentral. Lineage: Bacteria; Bacillati; Actinomycetota; Actinomycetes; Micrococcales; Microbacteriaceae.
UUGACGGGGACCCGCACAAGCAGCUGAGCAUGCGGAUUAAUUCGAUGCAACGCGAAGAACCUUACCAAGGCUUGACAUAUACGAGAACGCUGCAGAAAUGUAGAACUCUUUGGACACUCGUAUACAGGUGGUGCAUGGUUGUCGUCAGCUCGUGUCGUGAGAUGUUGGGUUAAGUCCCGCAACGAGCGCAACCCUCGUUCUAUGUUGCCAGCACGUAAUGGUGGGAACUCAUGGGAUACUGCCGGGGUCAACUCGAAGGAAGGUGGGGAUGACGACAAAUCAUCAUGCCCCUUAUGUCUUGGGCUUCACGCAUGCUACAAUGGCCGGUACAAAGGGCUGCAAUACCGUGAGGNGNAGCGAAUCCCAAAAAGCCGGGCCCAGUUCGGAUUGAGGUCUGCAACUCGACCUCAUGAAGUCGGAGUCGCUAGUAAUCGCAGAUCCGCAACGCUGCGGUGAAUACGUUCCCGGUCUUGUACACACCGCCCGUCAAGUCAUGAAAGGCGAUAACACCUGAAGGGGUCGACCUAACCCUUGUGGAGGGAGCCGUCGAAGGUGGGAUCCGCAUUUA